Molecule: long non-coding RNA, 779 nt
Organism: Ostrinia nubilalis (European corn borer)
Lineage: Eukaryota; Metazoa; Arthropoda; Insecta; Lepidoptera; Crambidae
Exons: 2
Source: RefSeq, a predicted model, not a curated record
GAAAAUUGCAACUUGUGUGCAGAUUUGGCCUCAGUAGGCUCUACAUUAGAGACUGAGCGAGUUUGUGAACAUGAACAACGUCCGUCUCUACAUUUUGCGGCUCGUCCUCGCAUGCAUAAUACUGAACGCGAUACUUGUCGCUGAGGCCAAGAAAAAACAUCACAAAGUUCCUGCUACCACAGCUGUUCACCAGGCGUCAAAACACCAAGAUAUUUCCAAAAUUACGAAGAACAUUCACAAACCUAAACAUCCGAAGAAGUCAAAACGAAGUACUUAUAGAAGGAGCUGGUCUUCUAAGGAGUACAGCUACAUGCCUCCAUACUUGGUGUUCAACAGAAAAGUAGGCGCUUACUACCCAUACUACGUAAAUCCCGAAAAUAACAACCGACGAAGCAUGGUUACUAGACAAGGCUGAAAAAGUAUGAAAAUUCUGUAUUCAAAUGCAAAGGCUGAACUUAUUGGUAAUUUUAGGUAAUUUAUUAAGUUUUAUUAGUUAUGUUUAUAUUCUAACUUGAUUUAACGGACCUAACAGUUGAACUUCAUCAUCAUCAUCACCAUCUCAGUCAUAGGACGUCCACUGCUGAACAUAGACCUCCCCCAAUGCUUUCCAUGUUGCGCGGUUGGUAGCGGCCUGCGUCCAGCGCCUUCCUGUACUUAUUUAACUACUUUUAAAUAAGUAGAGUUAGGUCACUCUAAGAAACAAUAACAUUUUAAGUCUUACUUUACUAUAUAACUUAUAUGCCUAAAUGUAUGUUUGUAAAUAAAAUGUUGGAUUCAAA